This 403-nucleotide unclassified non-coding RNA is filed under the name Hevea brasiliensis (rubber tree). Lineage: Eukaryota; Viridiplantae; Streptophyta; Magnoliopsida; Malpighiales; Euphorbiaceae. The record is from RNAcentral.
CUGGCUGUUUUGGCCGUCGAGCACCCCCCUCUCUCUUUCUUUAGUUUGCUUUCGCUUUAGUUUUUUCAGUUUUUUCAGUUAUUUCCUUCUAUUUCUUGUGUUUUUGUUUUAGUCUCUUACUGCGGAGUUUAGUUUCUCUCCUUGAAUGGGGAUUUUGUUGUGUUGUAUUGGUUAGACAGAUCAGAUCUUGUACUAGCUCUGUGAGGGAUGUUUCAAAGAUAUGAGAUGGUUGAAUUUGCAGUAGCUCUUCCCAGGCUUGGCCAAUAGUUGGAUUUUAUAGAUGGGUUACCAGAUGUGAAAGACGAGUCUCUUGGAAAUGAGUCUUGUAAUUGGCAACGAGUCUCUUGGAAAUGAGUCUUGUAAUUGGCAACGAGUCUCUUGGAAAUGAGUCUUGUAAUUGGCA